GACAGCAGUCGCCGCGGGAACACGUAGGUGGCAAGCGUUGUCCGGAAUUAUUGGGCGUAAAGGGCUCGCAGGCGGUUUCUUAAGUCUGAUGUGAAAGCCCCCGGCUCAACCGGGGAGGGUCAUUGGAAACUGGGAAACUUGAGUGCAGAAGAGGAGAGUGGAAUUCCACGUGUAGCGGUGAAAUGCGUAGAGAUGUGGAGGAACACCAGUGGCGAAGGCGACUCUCUGGUCUGUAACUGACGCUGAGGAGCGAAAGCGUGGGGAGCGAACAGGAUUAGAUACCCCCGUAGUCCCUGUCUCUUAUAC
RNAcentral lists this ribosomal RNA (306 nucleotides) under uncultured bacterium. Its description in RNAcentral is "partial 16S ribosomal RNA". It matches the Rfam family "Bacterial small subunit ribosomal RNA", at positions 507 to 807 of the family's 1533-position model. The record is from RNAcentral.